Molecule: transfer RNA, 62 nt
Filed under: Alulatettix yunnanensis
Lineage: Eukaryota; Metazoa; Arthropoda; Insecta; Orthoptera; Tetrigidae
Description: tRNA-Asp
Source: RNAcentral
AAGAAAUUAGUUAAAUAAUAACUUUAAAAUGUCAAUUUAAAAUUACCGUUAGGUAUUUCUUG